UCAGAUGAUGAUGUCUAGACCUGGGAGGAGC
RNAcentral lists this non-coding RNA (31 nucleotides) under Homo sapiens (human). The record is from RNAcentral. Lineage: Eukaryota; Metazoa; Chordata; Mammalia; Primates; Hominidae.